CCUACGGGAGGCAGCAGUGAGGAAUAUUGGUCCAUGGACUGAAGUCUGAACCAGCCAUUCCGCGUGCAGGAAGACGGCUCUAUGAGUUUUAAACUGCUUUUGUACAAGGGUAAACCUGAAUACGUGUAUUCAGCUGAAAGUACUGUACGAAUAAGGAUCGGCUAACUCCGUGCCAGCAGCCGCGGUAAUACGGAGGAUCCAAGCGUUAUACGGAUUUAUUGUGUUUAAAGGGUGCGUAGGCGGAUUGAUAAGUUAGAGGUGAAAUGUCCGAGCUUAACUCGGGAACUGCCUCUAAUACUGUUGAGCUAGAGAGUAGAUGCGGUAGGCGGAAUGUAUGGUGUAGCGGUGAAAUGCUUAGAGAUCAUACAGAACACCGAUUGCGAAGGCAGCUUACCAAUCUAUAUCUGACGUUGAGGCACGAAAGCGUGGGGAGCAAACAGGAUUAGAUACCCGAGUAGUC
RNAcentral lists this ribosomal RNA (460 nucleotides) under uncultured bacterium. RNAcentral's name for it is "partial 16S ribosomal RNA". It matches the Rfam family "Bacterial small subunit ribosomal RNA", at positions 338 to 795 of the family's 1533-position model. The record is from RNAcentral.